This is a long non-coding RNA of Poecilia latipinna (sailfin molly), 1901 nucleotides long. RefSeq lists it as uncharacterized. NCBI's taxonomy places the organism in Eukaryota, Metazoa, Chordata, Actinopteri, Cyprinodontiformes, Poeciliidae. The transcript is spliced from 4 exons. The record is from RefSeq and is a predicted model, not a curated record.
UAGGAAGUUUUGCUACGUCUCCUGCCAGUCAGUACUUCGGGCUGAAAUAUCCCACGGACUAGAGGAAGAGGAGGAUAUUCUUCAUCUUUGUGACUCGGGUCUAUUGCGCACAUUCUUCAGAACACCGUUCGAGGCUUCCAAGCAACACAACACGGACUUUACCGUCAUAAAAACUUUGCAGCCCUUGGACAGAGGGGCGAGUUUUCACGGUGUAUUUGGUGGACUUCAGCAAAACCUGGUUUCAAAUGAAGUAAAUGUGAAUCCACCGCACCAGUCGUCGAAGCUCUCCGCGUUUUCUUGGGUCUGAGGAACUGCUAGCCUGAGAUGGAGAGCAGUCGCUCUCAUCAGCAGCAGUCCCUGAUGUCGUGUAGUGGUGCGAGGGUGAGACAAUCAAACCUCUGUGGAGGUGGAUGUAACAGCAUGCUCUGGGAUGGCACAGCCAUGGACUCAGCUGCCACCGAGGCCACAGUCAAAGAUUUACUGGAAGACGACGAUUUUCCUCUGAACUUUAUAAUAAAUUCAGCAGGGUAAUGAUAGGUGUCGGAGCCUGCUGUAAGUCGGAGAAGAUAACUGUCAGUGAUGGCUGGCCAUUUGCCUAUUUAAGAGAACUCUGUACACACCGACAUUACUCUUCUUAAACCUAUCAUUCCCCAUCAUUACUCUCCCCUACAUCAAUCCACCCCAUCUAUAUCUCUUCCACAGUCCUCCUUCCUCUGCUUUUCCUUCCCAUCUGUUUUCCAUCCCUCUCUCCCUCCCUCCGUGUCCUUCCCCGUUUCUCUCCAAGUAGUGCGAUCAGUCCUCAUCGGGGCUAUCGGCCAGGCUCAUCAUGCAAAGUGCCGCUGGCUGCAACUGAAUUCCUCUCUGCGGGCCUGCAGCGAGAGCCUGGGGACGGGGCGGAGGAUACAUCUGGCGUGACACUAAUGUACUGACUCGGUGCUCGGCGCUCUACGUGGCGGCCCCAGAACAAGCACGCGUGGACCCCGGGAAAUCAACUUUACACACCGUUGACUGCGUCCGUUCAUAAACAAACGCAAGAUGCAAUUGGACUCCGGUCUCCGGAGACUCCUAAAUCUUCAAGUGAAUGUACACUGGGAGAGUCAACCAUGUGCUGUGACUCCCCUGCCGUCUCCUCUUAUGUUCACAGAGAAAUCUAGAUGACAGCCCAUUUUCCAGCGAGCAUAUGGAACACAAAAACACCAUCAACCCUCUGGUUACCCGUUUGCGGCCAAGAUCAAAUUUGCUUCCAACAGCUUCUUGUGGUUGCCUCCCUGUCACUGAGGGUUUUCUUUUUUUCUCUCCUCUCCCUCACAUUACUGUAAAUUGCCUCCUUUGUGUAACAUACAGUGCGAGACAGGGAUUCUUACAAACACGUUCGCACACACACGUUGACACGUUCGGAGGGGGAUUUUUAUGGGGAUAGGAAGAGUACUGCAGCUGUUGUCCUAACGAUGAUAAAUGGCGAAGAGACAGGUUAAAACAGUUCGGUUGCCGUUCUAAGGCGUCAUCAAUUGUUCCCUUGAGCAGAACGACGAUAAUCCUUUUAAUGGCUCAAUCUUCAUCAACUUCACAGGCAAAACGUGCACAUGCGCCGGGAUCCUUCGCAAACUGCCUCCCCAGAAUAUUGCCGUUUUGUCCUCUUCCACAGGCUUUGAUUCUGAAGCUGAUUAUGCAACUUCCUCUUGUCUUCAUGUUUACAUCCAUGAUGCCAAGGAUGUAUUCUCACCAUCUCCUUCUGUUUCCUCUUUUUUCAAAUUCAUGUUUACAGAUUAUUGCCUUCAAAAAUCCCUUCAUACAUGUGUUUCUUUUAAGAAAUGUAGUUAUUUCAAAUGUCUUAUGUUAGGUAACAUCCAUCCAGGUAUUGUCUUUACCAGAUAUUUGUAUUAAAUGAGAUGCAUGUUAGC